This is a long non-coding RNA of Manihot esculenta (cassava), 1622 nucleotides long. RefSeq lists it as uncharacterized. Lineage: Eukaryota; Viridiplantae; Streptophyta; Magnoliopsida; Malpighiales; Euphorbiaceae. The transcript has 3 exons. The record is from RefSeq and is a predicted model, not a curated record.
UAUAGACCAAAAUUGAACCGAUCUAUUUCAAAUAUGAAUAUGAGAGAUGCAUCCAUCAAAGCCAAACGUCUGCCGAGUUCAAAACCAUGUGGGGUGCACUUAUCAAGAAAUAUGAGCUGAAGGAGAAUGCUUGGCUUAGAGAAAUGUAUGAAAAGCCUGAAAGCUGGGUGCCCCUGUAUCUACGGCGAAAAUUUUUGCUGGCAUCCCCAUAAGUGAAAGUUUGGAAUCAUUCUUUGGUACAUUCUUGAAUGCUCAAACACCACUUGCAGAAUUUAUUUCACGAUACGAGCAAGGCCUUGCACAACGUCGUGAUGAGGAGAGAAAAGAGGUUUUUAGUUGUUAUAAUUUGCAGGCUUUUCUGCAUGCAAAAGAACCAGUAGAAGAACAGUGCAGAAGGCUCUAUACGUUGACAGCAUUCAAAAUUUUUCAAAAUGAACUGCUACAGAGCUAUAACUAUCUAGGGAUAAAGACUUAUGAAGAAGGGACCAUUUGCCGAUAUUCAGUGCGGAGGUGUGGGAAUGGGGUUGAGAAACAUGCUGUUACCUUCAGUGCAGCCAAUCUCAAUGUGUGUUGUAGCUGUCAAAUGUUUGAAUUUGAGGGUAUUCUGUAUAGACACAUUUUAAUAGUCUUCAAUAUGUUGGACAUAAGGGAAUUUCCACCUUGCUAUAUCUUACACAGGUGGACGAAAAAUGCUGAGUAUGGGACUAUUAGGGAUAUUGAAUCUGGUGUUAGCCCUCAAGAACUCAAGUCCUUAAUCUUUUGGAGUUUGAGAGUAACAGCGUGUAAAUUUGUAAGGCUGGGACAACAUCUAUUGAAAAAUACAAAAUCGGAUAUGAGAUUAUGCGAGAAGGUGGAAUAAAACUUUGCUGGCAAAGGUAGGCAGUGGGGACAAAGGUCAGAUGUCAUUAUAGAGCUAAAUUUUGUAGUUUUAAGUAUUUUGUAUAUAUAUCAUGUACAUUUUUCAAAAAAAUUUAGACAGUGUGACUGAGGACUUUGACUUGCAAAUGGAUAAUGAUGUAUUUCGAAUCUGUUUUUGAAUUGGAGUUCUGAUUCUUAAAUCACUUCAUGCUCCUUGCUAGAUAAUAUCAUGGCAAUUGAGAGUAGUUUUUAAAAAAAUAAAUAAGUCCUCAUCUAAUAUUAUGCUCUUUUGUUGCUUUCCUGAAUGAAGGCUCAUGGGUAGACCUGGCCACUGGUCCUAGAGGGUUCAAGACAGUUUAGGCCUUAGGGCCGCCUUCAGUCUGAUUCAUUGACAGUUACACAUGAUCUGGUUUGGAGCUUCAUUUACAGAGCAACGUAGACAAAUGCACGUCUCACUGCAAAUGCAGAUACAUUUGCUCCCAUCCAACUAAGAUUCAAUUGUAAAUGAGAGCUGCAUGUAAGAGCUCAUUCCAAGUAUCAGGAACACCAGGGAGGCACCAAUGGCUACAAUCUGCAGUGCGAUGACCUCUAAAGCCAUAAGCUGAAGGAUGGCCGUCUUUCCUCAUUUGUGAAAGGAUUUUAAUCCGUUAAUACUGGAAUCAUUCAAAAGAGAUAUUUAAAUGUUGAUAGAGAUCGUACGGUUGCUUUCUUCCAGUGUGAAGCCACCAAUGCCAUGUGUUAAAGAUAAGUGCAUCAACUCUUCU